CCUCAGUAACGGCGAGUGAAGCGGUAACAGCUCAAAUUUGAAAUCUGGCCUCACGGUCCGAGUUGUAAUUUGUAGAGGAUGUUUCGAGCAUGGUCUGGCCUAAGUUCCUUGGAACAGGACGUCAUAGAGGGUGAGAAUCCCGUAUGCGGUCAGGUGCCUACGCUCAUGUGAAACUCCUUCGACGAGUCGAGUUGUUUGGGAAUGCAGCUCAAAAUGGGUGGUAAAUUUCAUCUAAAGCUAAAUAUUGGCCAGAGACCGAUAGCGCACAAGUAGAGUGAUCGAAAGAUGAAAAGCACUUUGGAAAGAGAGUUAAACAGUACGUGAAAUUGUUGAAAGGGAAGCGCUUGCAACCAGACUUGCACGCAGCUAAUCAUCCGGUGUUCUCACCGGUGCACUUGGUUGCGUUCAGGCCAGCAUCGGUUUCGGCGGUGGGAUAAAGGCCUUAGGAAUGUAGCUGCUCUCGGGCAGUGUUAUAGCCUAGGGUGCAAUGCCGCCUGCUGGGACCGAGGACCGCGCUUCGGCUAGGAUGCUGGCGUAAUGGUUGUAAGCGACCCGUCUUGAAACACGGACCAAGGAGUCUAACAUCUAUGCGAGUGUUUGGGUGUCAAACCCAUACGCGUAAUGAAAGUGAACGGAGGUGAGAACCCUUAAGGGUGCAUCAUCGACCGAUCCUGAUGUCUUCGGAUGGAUUUGAGUAAGAGCAUAGCUGUUGGGACCCGAAAGAUGGUGAACUAUGCCUGAAUAGGGUGAAGCCAGAGGAAACUCUGGUGGAGGCUCGCAGCGGUUCUGACGUGCAAAUCGAUCGUCAAAUUUGGGUAUAGGGGCGAAAGACUAAUCG
Molecule: ribosomal RNA, 838 nt
Filed under: Thelebolus sp.
Lineage: Eukaryota; Fungi; Ascomycota; Leotiomycetes; Thelebolales; Thelebolaceae
Description: eukaryotic LSU rRNA
Rfam family: Eukaryotic large subunit ribosomal RNA
Source: RNAcentral